This 2419-nucleotide long non-coding RNA is filed under the name Canis lupus familiaris (dog). RNAcentral's name for it is "lncRNA (ENSCAFG00805026085.1, ENSCAFG00845010068.1)". The record is from RNAcentral. Lineage: Eukaryota; Metazoa; Chordata; Mammalia; Carnivora; Canidae.
AUAAGUGCUAUUGAACAACUCACUGUAGGCUUUCAAUUAUCUGAGAUUUACAUAAGCAACUUCCACAAAAUGCGAGAUACACCCAAUUAAAUGACAGUAAAUUUACUUUGCUGCAGAAUUCAAUAAUUUACAUCUUGGUUUCCCUGCAUUGCAUUAAUUGCCUAUUUGAUAGCAGAUUAAAAAGCAUCUGGAUAAAAUUUAACCUACAUAUAUUCAAAUUAGCUACAGUGAUUGAUUUAUCUGUAUUUUUACUCACUCAUUUAUUCAGUAUAUUUAUGUGCUAGUCACUGGGGAUAAGAUGUAUAACCAGAUGUAUACAGCUCCUGUCCUUCAAAAGCUGACCAUUCAGCAGGGGUGUUAAACACAGAAGUAGAAAUUAUCAUGUGUUGUGAUAAGGACAACAACAAAACAUGUUUGACGUAGUUGUAGUAUUUAUUUGUUCAUUUGAAAAAUAUUACUUGAACCUUUACUGUGUGCCAGAGUAGACCUGGUCUCAGAAGUAAAGAUAGAUUGUUGUUAGAAGAACAUACCCGGUGGGAUAUCCAUUUCUUUCAGUGUGAAAGACCACCUGACCAAAAUAAUCACAGGCUAGUGAAAAUACAUUUUAAAAAUCUUUCAAAAUGCUUUGCUUAAUGAACACAAAAUGAAGCAGAAGAAGCUAAAGCUAAAGUAAAAGUUGGAAUUCUGCAAGGUGGAUGAGCUCCAAAGCUGGCUUUCACCCUCAGGGGUCCUGCCAAAUCCAUAAGACCUUGAACCUUCUCGUCAGGGCCAAGUGACUCUGCCAGACAGUUGGGAAAUGGGUAAUGCCAAUGUUACAUAAAGUCUUUCGGAGAAGAAGGAAGAAGGAGCAGUCUCAAACUUAUUACAUGAGGCAACCAAAACAUUGGAGGCAAGGAAGCAAAUAGAUUAGAAGAAAGAAAAAUUAUAGGCUACUCUUCUCAUGAAUAUAGAUGCAAAUAUCUAGUUAAAGUUGUAGCUCACAAAAUCCAGACACAUCUAGAAGAGAUAGUAUAUAACAUUAUUUCAGUAAUGCAACGUUUACUUAUAUUAGGAAAUUGGUUAGUGUAAUAUAUUACCCAAGCACAUUGAAUGAUUUCUUAAAACUCCCAAUGGAUUCAGGAAAAAAAUGAAUUUGAUAAAUUUUAACAUUUAUAUAUGACUUAGAAUAAUUCCUGUUGACUAGGAGGGUAAUAAAACUUCAUUAUUCUGGUAAAAGGAAUUUAUGCAAAAUUUACAGUGAAUAUCCAUCUAAUGAUGAAAUACUGAAAGCACUCUUUACAAUCAAGAACAAGAUAAGUAUGAAUGCCAGUUGUCACCACUUCUAUUCAUUGUUACUGGAGGUGUUAGCCAAAGUAAUAAGACAAAAAAAAAUUUGAAAGGCAGAAACAGAACUGUCAUUGUUCAAAGGUUAUCUAUGUAGGAAACUCAAAAGAUCUAUAAAUAAAUACUAAAAUUAAUAAGACAGUUUAACAGAUUGCUGGAUGUAAAAUCAAGACAUAAAAGCAAAUUGCAUUUCUCUAUGUGAAUAUACAGGAAGUCAGUGUAACAAUAUAUGUCAAGUAACAAGAAAUAAAUCUAACAAAAAUUUUGUAAUAUUAUAUUCCGUUUGAAUAAUGUGUGAUGUUAGAACUAGGGAACUAAUAGAGAAUAUUAUAAAUUAUAUUGCAAAAGCUAAAUAAAAUCUAAAUGGAAUGUUAUAUCAUACUUCUAGGUAGGACAAUGUAAUUUUUUCCAGGUUUAUUCAAUACCAGUUUAGCAUAGUGUGUAUUUGUGUAACUAGAUAAACUUAAUUUUUUAUUUGAAAAAGGAAAGUGCAAGGAUUACUGAAGACACCAAUGAAGAACAGCAAGGUGAGGUGAACUCUUUCAAAUAAUCUAGCUUAGUUAAGUUUAUAUCCCAAUUUAGACAGCAGGAUUGGCUAUGUAGUAGAACUAUGGGGUGAAUUGCAGAGUACCCCACAAACUCACGCAUAUAUGGAAACUUUAUCAAGAAAGCAUUGCAGAAAGGGGUAAAUGUAAAUGGUAAUAAGGCAGAUAAUUAGUUAAGCAGAUGAGAAGGUUGAAAUUGAAUUCCUGUCUGUCCACAAGAAGCAAAUUAAAAUUAUUAAAAUUUUAGAAGUGAAAUAGAAAAAUAAUAAAAUGUUUAGAAGAAAAAAAAUGUUUAGAAGAAAAUGUAGGAUUAUAUUUUCAUGACCACACGAUACAAAAAGAUUUCUUAAAACAAAGACACAAAUAAUACAAGACAUAAAAAUGCAAAACCAUUAAGUAAUGAUUCAAUUUGAUCAUAUUAAAAUUGAGAUAUUCCUUAUCAAAAGAUACUAUAAGACUACUGCAAAACAGCAGAAUAGCAAAAUGUACAACUGGCAAUUAACUAGUAUCCAGAUAAAACAACUUCCUCAAAAAAUUAGAAAAAGAAAAAA